Zeugodacus cucurbitae (melon fly) is the source of this 2745-nucleotide RNA transcript. RefSeq lists it as uncharacterized. Lineage: Eukaryota; Metazoa; Arthropoda; Insecta; Diptera; Tephritidae. The record is from RefSeq and is a predicted model, not a curated record. The transcript is spliced from 5 exons.
AUUUCCAAAUCUAUUGAUGAAACAAAUCCACAAUCUACGCCAGAUAUUUUCAACUGCAAAAAAUAUUCGAUAUUUGUGGUGAUCUUUUAUUGAAUUAGAAAUUAUCGGAUACAGCACUUGAAGUGCUGCCAAAUUUUGAUAAAUGGGUACCACUUACAUACAUAAAUCUAAUUGGACAUUUCAACUUGUUCUUGGGAUUUAUGAGUAUAAACAAAACAUCUAACAGGAAAAUUUUGUGUGAAAAACAAGAAAAAUAGUUUUAUCCUUGUAUAAAUAUAAUUGAAAAAUAUAGAAGAAAAUCUGGAGCUGAUACGGAAGAAGCGAAACCGUGGUAAAAUGAAGUUAGAAGCAGUGAACGGGAACCUAGUGUCGCUGACAGUGAAGGUACCGCCAGCGGCUGAAAUAGAUAUUCCAAUGGGCUCAGAGGAGGCGGAUGAAGAAACACACCCACAGCUUACAUUAUCUUCCCACGAACAACAAAAACGUACAAAAGAAGAUAGUUGCGGAGACGAGGGCGAAAAGUCAAUAGGUGUUGCCGGUAAGAAAAAAGGCACAAGAAAAAAACGCUCAACUAACUGGGAGGAAGCCGAACGGUGUCUCUUAGUGGAGGUCAUCAAACCGAAAGUGGAAUAUGUUGAAAAUCGCAACGUUGACGCCAAAAGCAUAAAGUCGAAACGCCUUGCCUGGAUGCAUAUCACUAAACAAUUCAACGCACUAAAUUUUCGACACCGCUCUCUAGAACAAAUUCAGGUGCAAUGGCGAAGUAUGAAGAAUACCGCAAAACGCGAAUUUCAGCAAAAGACUCCCAAUGCAGGGACAUUGGAGGGCUUGUCCAUGGUAGAGUUCAUGGAGGAAAUGCAAAAGGAAACAACCAACUCACGCCCUCAUGCACGCAGUAAUGGUGUAAUUAUCAAGAAAGAAUUACUAAGUAUCGAUGAUGAAGAUACGCCACUAGCGGCUCUACCCACAACGACCACCACUAGUGACGAUACCCUGCAAGCAUCGACGAUGGCAUUACCUUCCCCACCACAAUCGGCUGAGUCACAGCCUGAAGUUACACUGAAGGAGAAACCGCAACUGAACACUGCAGUCAUACGCCAAAGAAAAAAACCCUUGCAAAAGAAAAAGUUGCAAACCAGCGACAAUGCUAGCACCGAUGGUGGCAGUAAAGCGAAAAAGCAACAACGUUUAAGUAUCACACAAAACGAAGCUGACAUACUCGGCAACAGUGAAAGUGAUGCACAAACUUCCAGAGCGCUCUUGUGUGCCGAUGACAUAAUCUAUAAAAUUCUUCCAACAGAUGAAAAAUACAAGAAACAAAUUUUCGAUCUGAUAAAACGUUCUCACCUGGCUGAGAUUGAACAUGCACGCAUCGAACAUGAGCAAAGACUCAGUUUCGAAACAAUGCAUCAGGAGCUGAAACUCAAUUAUUAUCGUAAAAACGAAGAGUUGAAACUGUGUCAAAUGCGUGAAGAGCACAAUGCACGUAUGCGUCAAAACGAACAAGAACACAAAGCACGUAUGCGUGCGUAUAUGUUGAACUCGCGCAACACUCCGCCAAAAUGUACAAAAAAUAAAGUUGGGUGUGAAGCAUAUGAUAAAGUCGAUGAUAACUCGAAUGCAUCCAAACCCACAUCCGAAGAUUGAAAUUGCAUCUAUUAAGAGGGUUAAGUUAAAACAGUAUUUUAAAGAUUAGCAAAAUAAUGUUAUGUUCUAGAAAAUAUGAAUAUUUUACUAUAUACAAUAGAUUAAACGCUGCCAUCAAUUUAGUGGUAUUAUUAUAGUUAUUACUAUUUUUUUUUAUUAUUAUAUUAUUUUAUUAUGAUUUCAAAAAAUAAUUGGUAAACACUCGCAACAAGGUUGUGCAAUUGAAAGUAGUUGGUAUUCAAUGAAAUUUUCGAACAAAAGAAAUAAUACUCGAAUUAUUUAUGUAUCGCAUGCUAUUUUUAUAUAAUUUUGGUUUAAGUUAAGUUGGUUCAUGUUACUUUUAACUAUGUUUUCCUUGUGCUAAUUACGUAAGCGGUUGGCGGAAGGAUUUAUAAUCGACUAUUUGGUGUAUGUUUAUAUCACUACAACAACAACUACACCCAAUUAAUUCUCAUUGAAAUUAUAAUUAGUUUUAAUUUUACAUCUUCCUUUCCGUGCAAUCGCCGUCAGUUACAUAUUACAUUGAAUCUAAUGAAUAUAUGUUACAUUUUAUACCAGUAUUUAGACGCAUGAAUUUUUACACAAAUUAUAGUAAAUUUAGUCGUAAUGAGUUUAUCAUUAACAACAACUGCAAAUAAACGAGUUUAAACAUUUCUAUGUUGGUUUAGUGCAAUUGCAGUGCUUUCUAUUUGAAACUAGCCAAUGAAGUCCACGUUAAUGAAAUGUAUUUGAGGAAUUCCACGAAGCUACUACUAUACUAUGGCUCUUAAUUACUUAAUGAAAGUCAUUUCACUUUGCUUAUUUUUAGCUGCAGUCAAUGCAAAUAAAUAACAAUGAUAUGUAUAUUUAGACUACAUACAUACAAGCCUAUGUUUAUGUAUGUAUAUUUGCAUUGAGUAAUAAUAGUAACCAGCUUUGCAGUUAGCAGGAAAAGGGUCUGCCUGCAGCUUCCAAACUAACAAAAAACAAAAGAGCAUUUGUAUGCAUUUACGAUUAGAAUCUAUGAAGGCAUGAGCGAUGAGUAAAAAUGUGCAGAAAUAGUCAACAAAAGUGGCAAUUACAGACAAACUAAAGCAAGUUUUUUUCUACCAGGAGCAG